RNAcentral lists this ribosomal RNA (433 nucleotides) under uncultured bacterium. Its description in RNAcentral is "partial 16S ribosomal RNA". It matches the Rfam family "Bacterial small subunit ribosomal RNA", at positions 29 to 507 of the family's 1533-position model. The record is from RNAcentral.
AAUGAACGCUGGCGGCAUGCCUAACACAUGCAAGUCGAACGGGACCAUAGGGACUAGUUGCUCACGGGUGCGUCACGCGUCGGAACGUGCCCUUAGGCUUGGAAUAACUCCCUUUCAGGGGUGCUAAUACCGGAAAAUGUAUUCGGAUCCAACAUUCAUCGUACUUGUAUGGGCCGGCGUUGGUUUAACUUGUGGCUAGUGUAAAAGCCUAUCAAGGCGACGCUCCAUAGCUGGUCAGAGAGAAUGAUCAGCCACACUUAGACUGGGACACGGCCCAGACUCCUACGGGAGGCAGCAGUGGGUAAUAUUGGACAAUCGGCUGAAGCCUGAUCCAGCAAUGCCUCUUGAGUGAUGAAGUCCGGAGAGUUAUAAAGCUCUUUUACCCGGGAUGAUAAUGACGGUACCGAGAGAAUAAGCACCGGCUAACUCCGUG